RNAcentral lists this ribosomal RNA (466 nucleotides) under uncultured bacterium. Its description in RNAcentral is "partial 16S ribosomal RNA". It matches the Rfam family "Bacterial small subunit ribosomal RNA", at positions 28 to 507 of the family's 1533-position model. The record is from RNAcentral.
GAUGAACGCUGGCGGCGUGCUUAACACAUGCCAGUCGAACGAUGAAGCCCAGCUUGCUGGGUGGAUUAGUGGCGAACGGGUGAGUAACACGUGAGUAACCUGCCCUUAACUCUGGGAUAAGCCUGGGAAACUGGGUCUAAUACCGGAUAGGAGCGUCCACCGCAUGGUGGGUGUUGGAAAGAUUUAUCGGUUUUGGAUGGACUCGCGGCCUAUCAGCUUGUUGGUGAGGUAACGGCUCACCAAGGCGACGACGGGUAGCCGGCCUGAGAGGGUGACCGGCCCCCCUGGGACUGAGAGACGGCCCAGACUCCUACGGGAGGCAGCAGUGGCGAAUAUUGCACAAUGGGCGCAAGCCUGAUGCAGCGACGCCGCGUGAGGGAUGACGGCCUUCGGGUUGUAAACCUCUUUCAGUAGGGAAGAAGCGAGAGUGACGGUACCUGCAGAAGAAGCACCGGCUAACUACGUG